UACGUAGGAUCCGAGCAUUAUCCGGAGUGACUGGGUGUAAAGAGUUGCGUAGGCGGUGUUUCAAGUAGCUAGUGAAAUCUGGUGGCUCAACCAUUCAGACUAUUAGCUAAACUGUAACACUCGAGACCGUUAGGGGUAGCUGGAAUUUCUAGUGUAGGAGUGAAAUCCGUAGAUAUUAGAAAGAACACCGAUAGCGUAGGCAGGCUACUGGGACGGUUCUGACGCUAAGGCACGAAAGCGUAGGGAGCAA
RNAcentral lists this ribosomal RNA (250 nucleotides) under uncultured prokaryote. Its description in RNAcentral is "partial 16S ribosomal RNA". It matches the Rfam family "Bacterial small subunit ribosomal RNA", at positions 524 to 771 of the family's 1533-position model. The record is from RNAcentral.